AUUGAACGCUGGCGGCAUGCCUUACACAUGCAAGUCGAACGGCAGCACGGGUGCUUGCACCUGGUGGCGAGUGGCGAACGGGUGAGUAAUACAUCGGAACGUACCUUAUCGUGGGGGAUAACGCAGCGAAAGCUGUGCUAAUACCGCAUACGCCCUGAGGGGGAAAGCGGGGGAUCGCAAGACCUCGCGCGAUUAGAGCGGCCGAUGCCUGAUUAGCUUGUUGGUGGGGUAAAAGCCCACCAAGGCGACGAUCAGUAGCUGGUCUGAGAGGACGAUCGGGCACACUGGGACUGAGACACGGCCCAGACUCCUACGGGAGGCAGCAGUGGGGAAUUUUGGACAAUGGGGGCAACCCUGAUCCAGCAAUGCCGCGUGAGUGAAGAAGGCCUUCGGGUUGUAAAGCUCUUUUGUCAGGGAAGAAACACCGGCUCUAACACAGUCCGGGAAUGACGGUACCUGAAGAAUAAGCACCGGCUAACUACGUGCCAGCCGCCGCGGUAA
Molecule: ribosomal RNA, 501 nt
Filed under: uncultured bacterium
Lineage: Bacteria
Description: partial 16S ribosomal RNA
Rfam family: Bacterial small subunit ribosomal RNA
Source: RNAcentral